This 497-nucleotide ribosomal RNA is filed under the name uncultured bacterium. RNAcentral's name for it is "partial 16S ribosomal RNA". It matches the Rfam family "Bacterial small subunit ribosomal RNA", at positions 28 to 507 of the family's 1533-position model. The record is from RNAcentral.
GAUGAACGCUGGCGGCGUGCCUAAUACAUGCAAGUCGAGCGAACAGACGAGGAGCUUGCUCCUCUGACGUUAGCGGCGGAAGGGGGAGUAACACGUGGAUAACCUACCUAUAAGACUGGGAUAACUUCGGGAAACCGGAGCUAAUACCGGAUAAUAUAUUGAACCGCAUGGUUCAAUAGUGAAAGACGGUUUUGCUGUCACUUCUAGAUGGAUCCGCGCCGCAUUAGCUAGUUGGUAAGGUAACGGCUUACCAAGGCAACGAUGCGUAGCCGACCUGAGAGGGUGAUCGGCCACACUGGAACUGAGACACGGUCCAGACUCCUACGGGAGGCAGCAGUAGGGAAUCUUCCGCAAUGGGCGAAAGCCUGACGGAGCAACGCCGCGUGAGUGAUGAAGGUCUUCGGAUCGUAAAACUCUGUUAUUAGGGAAGAACAAAUGUGUAAGUAACUAUGCACGUCUUGACGGUACCUAAUCAGAAAGCCACGGCUAACUACGUG